GAUGAACGCUAGCUACAGGCUUAACACAUGCAAGUCGAGGGGAAACGAUGAGAGAGCUUGCUCUCUUAGUCGUCGACCGGCGCACGGGUGAGUAACGCGUAUCCAACCUGCCUCUGACCAAGGGAUAACCCGUCGAAAGUCGGACUAAUACCUUAUGCAGUCGUCGGAAGUCAUCUGAUGACGACGAAAGAUUUCAUCGGUGAGAGAUGGGGAUGCGUCUGAUUAGCUUGUUGGCGGGGUAACGGCCCACCAAGGCGACGAUCAGUAGGGGUUCUGAGAGGAAGGUCCCCCACAUUGGAACUGAGACACGGUCCAAACUCCUACGGGAGGCAGCAGUGAGGAAUAUUGGUCAAUGGGCGUAAGCCUGAACCAGCCAAGUAGCGUGCAGGAUGACGGCCCUAUGGGUUGUAAACUGCUUUUAUGCGGGGAUAAAGUGAGGGACGUGUCCUUCAUUGCAGGUACCGCAUGAAUAGGGACCGGCUAAUUCCGUG
RNAcentral lists this ribosomal RNA (491 nucleotides) under uncultured bacterium. RNAcentral's name for it is "partial 16S ribosomal RNA". It matches the Rfam family "Bacterial small subunit ribosomal RNA", at positions 28 to 507 of the family's 1533-position model. The record is from RNAcentral.